RNAcentral lists this ribosomal RNA (496 nucleotides) under uncultured bacterium. Its description in RNAcentral is "partial 16S ribosomal RNA". It matches the Rfam family "Bacterial small subunit ribosomal RNA", at positions 28 to 507 of the family's 1533-position model. The record is from RNAcentral.
GACGAACGCUGGCGGCGUGCCUAAUACAUGCAAGUUGAGCGCUGAAGGUUGGUACUUGUACCAACUGGAUGAGCAGCGAACGGGUGAGUAACGCGUGGGGAAUCUGCCUUUGAGCGGGGACAACAUUUGGAAACGAAUGCUUAUACCGCAUAAAAACUUUAAAAACAAGGUUUAAGUUUUAAAGAUGCAAUUUCAUCACUCAAAGAUGAUUCCGCGUUGUAUUAGCUAGCUGGUGAGGUAAAGGCCCACCAAGGCGAUGAUACAUAGCCGACCCGAGAGGGUGAUCGGCCACAUUGGGACUGAGACACGGCCCAAACUCCUACGGGAGGCAGCAGUAGGGAAUCUUCGGCAAUGGACGAAAGUCUGACCGAGCAACGCCGCGUGAGUGAAGAAGGUUUUCGGAUCGUAAAACUCUGUUGGUAGAGAAGAACGUUGGUGAGAGUGGAAAGCUCAUCAAGUGACGGUAACUACCCAGAAAGGGACGGCUAACUACGUG